GAUGAACGCUGGCGGCGUGCCUAAUACAUGCAAGUCGAGCGAACAGACGAGGAGCUUGCUCCUUUGACGUUAGCGGCGGACGGGUGAGUAACACAUGGGUAACCUACCUAUAAGACUGGGAUAACUUCGGGAAACCGGAGCUAAUACCGGAUAAUAUUUCGAACCGCAUGGUUCGAUAGUGAAAGAUGGCUCUGCUAUCACUUAUAGAUGGACCUGCGCCGUAUUAGCUAGUUGGUAAGGUAACGGCUUACCAAGGCAACGAUACGUAGCCGACCUGAGAGGGUGAUCGGCCACACGGGAACUGAGACACGGUCCAGACUCCUACGGGAGGCAGCAGUAGGGAAUCUUCCGCAAUGGGCGAAAGCCUGACGGAGCAACGCCGCGUGAGUGAUGAAGGUCUUCGGAUCGUAAAACUCUGUUAUUAGGGAAGAACAAACGUGUAAGUAACUGUGCACGUCUUGACGGUACCUAAUCAGAAAGCCACGGCUAACUACGUGCCAGCCGCCGCCGUAA
RNAcentral lists this ribosomal RNA (513 nucleotides) under uncultured bacterium. RNAcentral describes it as "partial 16S ribosomal RNA". It matches the Rfam family "Bacterial small subunit ribosomal RNA", at positions 28 to 523 of the family's 1533-position model. The record is from RNAcentral.